Molecule: ribosomal RNA, 769 nt
Filed under: Staphylococcus aureus
Lineage: Bacteria; Bacillati; Bacillota; Bacilli; Caryophanales; Staphylococcaceae
Description: bacterial SSU rRNA
Rfam family: Bacterial small subunit ribosomal RNA
Source: RNAcentral
UGGGGAUCAAACAGGAUUAGAUACCCUGGUAGUCCACGCCGUAAACGAUGAGUGCUAAGUGUUAGGGGGUUUCCGCCCCUUAGUGCUGCAGCUAACGCAUUAAGCACUCCGCCUGGGGAGUACGACCGCAAGGUUGAAACUCAAAGGAAUUGACGGGGACCCGCACAAGUGGUGGAGCAUGUGGUUUAAUUCGAAGCAACGCGAAGAACCUUACCAAAUCUUGACAUCCUUUGACAACUCUAGAGAUAGAGCCUUCCCCUUCGGGGGACAAAGUGACAGGUGGUGCAUGGUUGUCGUCAGCUCGUGUCGUGAGAUGUUGGGUUAAGUCCCGCAACGAGCGCAACCCUUAAGCUUAGUUGCCAUCAUUAAGUUGGGCACUCUAAGUUGACUGCCGGUGACAAACCGGAGGAAGGUGGGGAUGACGUCAAAUCAUCAUGCCCCUUAUGAUUUGGGCUACACACGUGCUACAAUGGACAAUACAAAGGGUAGCGAAACCGCGAGGUCAAGCAAAUCCCAUAAAGUUGUUCUCAGUUCGGAUUGUAGUCUGCAACUCGACUACAUGAAGCUGGAAUCGCUAGUAAUCGUAGAUCAGCAUGCUACGGUGAAUACGUUCCCGGGUCUUGUACACACCGCCCGUCACACCACGAGAGUUUGUAACACCCGAAGCCGGUGGAGUAACCUUUUAGGAGCUAGCCGUCGAAGGUGGGACAAAUGAUUGGGGUGAAGUCGUAACAAGGUAGCCGUAUCGGAAGGUGCGGCUGGAUCACCU